GAUUACUUAUCUGUCUUGAAAAUAGCUGACGAUUCCUGGCCAAGAAAAUCUACGAACAAGCGACGCUUGACAUGCAGACCUCCUUAAGCGACAAAUGGUUCAAUCAAUUUUGCUGGUACGUCUCUUUCUUCUCUUCUCCCACUACUCUUUCUUUGGUUGAUCUGAGAUCGUCAUGAUCUUUAGAUAAAACCCCAGAAACGCACUUGGCAACCCUUCAAAUAAAACGCACUUGGCAACCCUACAAAUUAAUCUCUCUCUUCUUUUUUGGGUUUCAUGACAACAUUUGCAGUUCCUUUUUCUUAUUUUUGCGUGCUUGCAAUGUUGCUCUCUUGAAACAAAAAAAGAAGAGGACUCUUGAGAUUCGUUUUUAAAUAAAUACUGGUGGAAUUUAAGAAACAUGAUUUUUAUCAUUUGUUGGAUGGUUUUUGGUUUUUGUUAUGUUGGUCUCCAAAUAAGUGCUCAGAUGUUCAUGGUCGUAUAUUUUAUUUCUUGAUGAUGUUUUUCUUUCUCUUCAGCAAUAAACACAUCUGUCAUAUAGUUAUCUUGUCUGAAAUUAGCUGAUGGUAUGUUUUGGAAGUUGACUG
RNAcentral lists this long non-coding RNA (584 nucleotides) under Phoenix dactylifera (date palm). Its description in RNAcentral is "long non-coding RNA (PDAC_LNC020639)". Lineage: Eukaryota; Viridiplantae; Streptophyta; Magnoliopsida; Arecales; Arecaceae. The record is from RNAcentral.